AAAGAUUUCAGUUUUCCCACAGACGGACUCUGAGUCCGCAUCAGUGAGGAGGAUUCUGAUCCGCAUCGGCACAAUACACAACGAAAACAACACAACUGCUGGCACUAAAUCACAGUUAGGACGUACUCGGAGCUCAUCCAGCAGCUUCCUGAUUGGACGAGAGCGAGCGAGCCUGCAGACCAAACCGCCGCCUGUCAGUCAACAGCCAGGGCAGCAGGAUACCUCGUGUGACUCAAAGUCAAAAUAGAAUUAAAGUAAUAAAAACACUCACAGUAAAACAAGCUCUAAAACAAACUUCUCAAGUUCAUUAUGACAAGUCAAAAGUCAAUGUUUUACAAUCGACAGCAGACUGUUGACACAGAACACCACAGUUUAUUAUCUAAUCGUUUUCCCUCAGCUCACGAGGACGAGCAGAUGAAAGCCGUUCAGUCUUUGAGAGGAUUUUUCUUUAUUUACAGGCUGUUCAAACAGUCAGGUAACAUCUGAAUGGUGAUUAUGGACAAAGAGAACAUGAACGUCUCAGGACUGAAAGCUGAGCGGAUAUGAACGUGAGGAGGUAUUUUCUGCAUGUCACCACUGAGCCGCAGCUCGUCAUGCGAACAAGAUGCACGACAGUCCGAGUUUAAUGGAAAACCAACAUCGACUGAUUACCAAUCAGCUUUCCAGUCCAAUAAAUAAACAUCAAAUGUCAAUCAGCAUGUUUCAAAUGAAUCCCUUAAUAUUUUCACUUUAAAAUGCUCAUUAAUAAUGCAGUGGAGAUCAGAAAACACAG
This is a long non-coding RNA of Scatophagus argus, 772 nucleotides long. RefSeq lists it as uncharacterized. The transcript has 2 exons. Lineage: Eukaryota; Metazoa; Chordata; Actinopteri; Scatophagidae. The record is from RefSeq and is a predicted model, not a curated record.